This 369-nucleotide ribosomal RNA is filed under the name Phelsuma guttata. RNAcentral describes it as "partial 16S ribosomal RNA". It matches the Rfam family "Bacterial large subunit ribosomal RNA", at positions 1946 to 2512 of the family's 2925-position model. Lineage: Eukaryota; Metazoa; Chordata; Lepidosauria; Squamata; Gekkonidae. The record is from RNAcentral.
CCGUGCAAAGGUAGCAUAAUCAUUUGUUCCUUAAAUAGGGACUUGUAUGAACGGUUAGAUGAGGGCAAAACUGUCUCCUACAGUUAAUCAAUGAACUUGAUCAUACAGUACAAACGCUGUAAUUUAUUUAUAAGACGAGAAGACCCUGUGGAGCUUUAAACUUCUACAUUAAAUUAAUUAUAACAUAAUGUAGAGUUUUAAGUUGGGGCGACUAUGGAGUAAAAAAGAACCUCCAUGAAUACACGACUUAACCUCGUCACAAAAGGCUAACAGGCCUAACCAAAAAGUUUGACCCAAUCAUAUUGUAUACCGAACCAAGUUACCCCAGGGAUAACAGCGCCAUCCCCUUAAAGAGUUCACAUCGCCAAG